Non-coding RNA from Pelobates cultripes (western spadefoot toad), 264 nucleotides. The record is from the annotation of a GenBank genome assembly. NCBI's taxonomy places the organism in Eukaryota, Metazoa, Chordata, Amphibia, Anura, Pelobatidae.
GGAGCUGUGUGUGUUUGUGUAUUGUGUAUAGUGAAUGCAGUGAGUGUUUGUGUAGUGUGUAUAGUGAAUGCAGAGUGUGUUUGUGUAGUGUGUAUAUUAUAAAUGCAGUGAGUGUUUGUGUAGUGUGUAUAUUAUAAAUGCAGAGUGUGUGUUCGUGUAGUGUGUGUAUAGUGAAUGUAGUGUGUGCGUAAAGUGAAUGCAGUUUGUGUGUAGUGUGCGUAAAGUGAAUGCAGUGUGUGUAUAUAAGGAGCAGAGUGUGUGUGU